AUGGCGCCGUCCUACGACAAGACCAUCGCCACGGCGGCCUCCCUCGCGGCGUCCCUGAUGCUGGUCCGCAGCCUCGCGAACGAGCUGCUGCCGUCCGAGGUGCGCGACGCGCUGUCCUCGGCCCUCGCCAGCCUCCGCUCGCGCAUGACGUGGCAGCACACCAUCGUCAUCAAGGAGACCGAGGGCUGGUGCCGAAAUUGUGUCUACGAUGCCGUCGAGGCCUACCUUGCCACGCGCAUCAACGCCAACCUCAACAUGCAGCGCCUGCGCGUCAGCAGCGCCGGCGCAUCUGAGAAGAUGGUCGUCGGCAUGGAGGCAGGCGAGGAGAUGCCGGAUGUGUAUCAAGGAGCGGAGUUCAAAUGGUGCAUGGUCACUCGCGAGGUCAAGGGCGACUCGGACAGCGUUGGCGACGGCGCCCAUGAGGUCAGGUCCUAUGAGGUAAGCUUCCACAAGAGGCACAAGGAGAAGGCGCUCAAGGAGUACCUGCCCUUCAUCGUCGCCGCCGCCAAGGCCAUUGAGGACCAGGAGCGGAGCCUCGACAUCUACAUGAACGAGCACGGCAACGAGUGGUCCUCCAUCGUUCUCCAGCACCCCUCCACCUUCCACACGCUCGCCAUGGACAUGAAGCAGAAGCGGGCCAUUGUUGAUGACCUCGACAGGUUCACCAAGAGGAAGGACUACUACAGGAGGAUCGGCAAGGCGUGGAAGCGCGGGUACCUCCUAUAUGGCCCUCCAGGUACCGGCAAGUCCAGCCUCAUCGCCGCCAUCGCCAACCACCUCAGGUUCGACAUUUACGACCUCGAGCUCACCGGGGUUGAUUCCAACUCCGACCUCAGGAGGCUUCUUGUCGGGAUGACCAACCGGUCCAUUCUCGUGGUCGAGGACAUCGACUGCACCAUCGAACUCAAGCAGCGGGAGGAAGACGACGAGGAGCACUCCAAGUCCAACUCUGCAGCAAAGAAGAAGGCAGAAGACAAGGUAACAUUGUCUGGGCUGCUCAAUUUUGUUGAUGGCUUGUGGUCGACGAGCGGGGAGGAAAGGAUCAUCAUCUUCACAACCAACUACAAGGAACGUCUCGACCCGGCACUCCUGCGGCCUGGCAGGAUGGACAUGCACAUACACAUGGGGUACUGCACCAUGGAGGCCUUCCGGAUCCUUGCCAACAACUACCAUUCCGUCGACUACCAUGCCACCUAUCCAGAUAUAGAGGAGCUGAUCGAGGAGGUGUCGGUGACGCCUGCAGAGGUCGCCGAGGUCCUCAUGAGGAACGACGACACUGACGUUGCCCUCCAUGAUCUUGUCGAGCUCCUAAAGUUGAAGAAGAAAGAUGCCACUGAUGACAUCAAGAUUGAGGGUACGCACGUGGAUGGGAAGAAAGAUAGUGAUGAGAUCAAGACUGGAAGUGUGCAGGUGGAGGAGAAGAAAGAUGACGAAGAGGUGGUGGUGAAGAAUGUUUUCAUAGAAAACAGAAGCGGUUAG
This 1479-nucleotide ribosomal RNA is filed under the name Triticum aestivum (bread wheat). RNAcentral's name for it is "partial small subunit ribosomal RNA". Lineage: Eukaryota; Viridiplantae; Streptophyta; Magnoliopsida; Poales; Poaceae. The record is from RNAcentral.